Molecule: long non-coding RNA, 763 nt
Organism: Mustela lutreola (European mink)
Lineage: Eukaryota; Metazoa; Chordata; Mammalia; Carnivora; Mustelidae
Exons: 3
Source: RefSeq, a predicted model, not a curated record
UUUUGUGACGGGAGGGGAGGGAAAGCCAAGUGACCCGCGCAAGGAGAGUCGGAGGGGGUGACUGCCAGGAGCACCUCCCGGAGCGCCUGUGCAGUACACCGCAUUCAUUUCCCAACACAACGCUCUAUUCAGCAGAGGUUUCGAGCCAAACCAAAAAAGAGCAAAAGAAAUACUUCCUAGAAAAGAGGUGGGAUCCAGUCGCGGGCUGCGGGAUUGCGGGGUCCGCGGCGGCCUCCGCUCCCGCCUGGCGCCCAACGUGGCCCCACCGCCGCUUCGCUCCGGCCGCGCCGCUGCCGCCUCCGGAGCCGGCGGGGAGCCCGGCGGGCGGGAGAGCCCGGAAGGAGCCCGGGGCGCUCAGGCCCCCGCCGGCGCCGACACCGCCCGCCGGGAGCAGCCGGCCUGCUCCGGGGGACUGAAGCCGCGCGGUUCCGGGGCGACCCUUUCUCCAACGUGAGCAGAUCCCUGCAGCCCCCAGUGCACGUCGCCCGGCAGCGCUUAAUGGAUUACUGCAGCCGCCCCGGCCGACCGCUGCCUCCCGCUCGGCAGCCUUCGGCCUGGUUCUUCUGCUUUAGAAAAAGGCCUUUCCUCCUGGCGUUUGCUCAAACCGCCAAACUUCAGGCCAGUCCUUCAGCCAUACCGUUUCCGGAUUUUGUUACACCCGUGCAGCCCGUUCGAGGGCUCUGAGGGGUCCAGCGGCUCAGCAGAGAUUGGUCAAAUAAAUAAAUAAACGGAUAAACUGAAGGGAUUUUCUGCCUGAACUUGC